CAUGCAAGUCGAACGGUAACGCGGGGGCAACCCUGGCGACGAGUGGCGAACGGGUGAGUAAUACAUCGGAACGUGCCCAGUAGUGGGGGAUAGCUCGGCGAAAGCCGGAUUAAUACCGCAUACGACCUACGGGUGAAAGCGGGGGAUCGCAAGACCUCGCGCUAUUGGAGCGGCCGAUGGCAGAUUAGCUUGUUGGUGGGGUAAAAGCCUACCAAGGCGACGAUCUGUAGCUGGUCUGAGAGGACGACCAGCCACACUGGGACUGAGACACGGCCCAGACUCCUACGGGAGGCAGCAGUGGGGAAUUUUGGACAAUGGGCGCAAGCCUGAUCCAGCAAUGCCGCGUGUGUGAUGAAGGCCUUCGGGUUGUAAAGCACUUUUGGUGGGAACGAAACGGUCCGGGCUAAUACCCUGGACUAAUGACGGUACCCGCAGAAUAAGCACCGGCUAACUACGUGCCAGCAGCCGCGGUAAUACAGAGGGUGCGAGCGUUAAUCGGAAUUACUGGGCGUAAAGCGCGCGUAGGCGGCUUUGCAAGUCGGGUGUGAAUCCCCAGGCUUAACCUGGGAACUGCAUUCGAGACUGCAUUGCUAGAGUAUGGGAGAGGGAAGUGGAAUUUCCGGUGUAGCGGUGAAAUGCGUAGAUAUCGGAAGGAACAUCAGUGGCGAAAGCGACU
RNAcentral lists this ribosomal RNA (676 nucleotides) under uncultured bacterium. RNAcentral's name for it is "bacterial SSU rRNA". It matches the Rfam family "Bacterial small subunit ribosomal RNA", at positions 54 to 726 of the family's 1533-position model. The record is from RNAcentral.